Molecule: ribosomal RNA, 687 nt
Filed under: Saprolegnia unispora
Lineage: Eukaryota; Oomycota; Saprolegniomycetes; Saprolegniales; Saprolegniaceae
Also listed under: 1 other name
Description: LSU rRNA
Rfam family: Eukaryotic large subunit ribosomal RNA
Source: RNAcentral
GAAAAGAAACUAACAAGGAUUCCCCCAGUAACGGCGAGUGAAGCGGGAAGAGCUCAAGCUUAAAAUCUCCAUACUUGUAUGGCGAAUUGUAGUCUAUUGAGGCUGUUGUCAGCAUCGCGAUCGGGGACAAGUCCCUUGGAAAAGGGCAGCAUGGAGGGUGAUACUCCCGUCUCUGCUCCGAUUUGCGGUGUGUACGAUACGCUUUCUUUGAGUCGAGUUGUUUGGGAAUACAGCUCAAAGUAGGUGGUAAAUUCCAUCUAAAGCUAAAUAUUGGUGCGAGACCGAUAGCGAACAAGUACCGUGAGGGAAAGAUGAAAAGAACUUUGAAAAGAGAGUUAAAGAGUACCUGAAACUGUUGAAAGGGAACCGUAUCGUUUCCAGUGUUUUAUCCUGUGCAUAUUUCAUUCGCGGAGCAAUUUGCGGGUGCCCUGUGCAUGGGUGUGACGUCAGAGUCAGUUUGUAUGCUGCGGGAGAUGGUCAGUGAGGAGGUGCGUCACUUCGGUGAAAGUUAUAUCUCGCUGUCUAGUAGCCGUGGUUGAGACUGAGGUGCCUACAACAUGCCUUGGGGUUUCGUGUUGUCUCGUGUUAAUAACUGCUUUGAUAGCUUGCUAUGUCUGUGGUUUAUUGAUGCGAUUGAUGAUGCGGAUAACCUCUGCUGUUCGGGACUCUGGCGAAAUGGAACGAUAC